Molecule: RNA transcript, 1331 nt
Organism: Papaver somniferum (opium poppy)
Lineage: Eukaryota; Viridiplantae; Streptophyta; Magnoliopsida; Ranunculales; Papaveraceae
Exons: 8
Source: RefSeq, a predicted model, not a curated record
CUCUCUUCUCUUCCUCGCAGCAGAUGAAACCCUAGUGAAAUCUCUUGAAUCUAUUCAAUAAUUGAACCCUAGUGAGAGUGGUGGAGCUUUCAUUUUCUCUGCAAAAUCUCGUCAAGGAGAAAGCUAGGGUUUCAAAAAUCAAAUUAAUCCUUAGCUUAGAUUAGCUCAUGGAUUUAGAAUCGUCCACACAUGUUAUGUAAUGAGUUUGAUUUAGGGUUCAUCCUUGAAUCGGUGAAGAAAACAAUUAUGGGUUUUUUUCUUUGGGUGUUUUCGUGUUAAAGAUGAGAACCAAAAUCAUCAUAUCAUCUCUGAUUCUUCCAACAAAAAAAAUCCUUUGGUAUCUAGGAAUCGUCUAGCAGCGUUACUCUUAUCUGAAUCUCAAGAUAGAAAGGUGUGGGUUACAGUUGUAAUGAUGGAGGUGAAUUGGUAGUUUGUCCUAAUUCUGUUAUGAAGAAGCUGACGUGUUGAUUUGGGUUGCAUUGAAUUAUGUCUUAGAUGAGGAUGAGUAUGAGUUACUGCGGGAUAACAAUGUGGGAUUUCACCGUCCUGCACCAGUGAAUUCUUGUUCUUGACCUAGUAUUUGUUUAUAUCUUUGAAUAGCUACUUAGGUUGAAGACAGAAUUUGAUGUGCCAGGUGAUCCUUCUAUAGUUGGAAAAGAAACGGGCAAAGGCGAAUUCUAUAUGUGGGUCGAGUGAGGUGUCCUAGUAACUUUCAAGCUGAGAGCACUUUUUUUUUGGGAGUUGUUUUAUUUCAAUACUUGUCAGGUGAUACUUCUAUACUUGUCCAAUGGUUUUGUCUCUGCAAUUAGCUUUUCUGUGCUUGGUGAUCAUAUAUGCAGUCCCUAUUCUUCAUAUCACUUUCUUCAUCUAUCUCAACAAAGUUUCUGCAAGAUGUGGUGCUUACAUCGCCUGCAAGCAAGAGAUAAUGCAGCCUAAUGCUAGCAUCAAAUACAGGUUCAUCUGGACUCAGUUUCCUUCAAAUCUGAUGAAUGCAUUACUGCUUGGGGAUGCAAUACAAGAUCUUCCUGAAGUCAGCCGAGAAGACACUUUCUUCAACUGCGUGGCAUGCUGUUUCAACAGGGACCAUGUUUACUGUCUACUACAAACCAAGGAAGUAAUUAGGUGCGGAAGUGUUCGCGCGAAGUUGUAGCUGGGAUUAGGUAUACAGUUUUCUUAUUUACAGAAUAUGUUCAUGAUCUUUGUACUACACGGAAUGAACUUAUAGUGAUAUAAGUGAGAAUGAACUGAACUUGAGAAGUUUCUAAGUAUUCCCUUAAAAAUAUUUUGGUACUUAGAAUUUGUUUUCUUUUUUUGAUAUGAAUGGAAUGUGU